Molecule: ribosomal RNA, 506 nt
Filed under: uncultured bacterium
Lineage: Bacteria
Description: partial 16S ribosomal RNA
Rfam family: Bacterial small subunit ribosomal RNA
Source: RNAcentral
AUUGAACGCUGGCGGCAGGCCUAACACAUGCAAGUCGGACGGUAGCACAGAGGAGCUUGCUCCUCGGGUGACGAGUGGCGGACGGGUGAGUAAUGUCUGGGGAUCUGCCCGAUAGAGGGGGAUAACCACUGGAAACGGUGGCUAAUACCGCAUAACGUCGCAAGACCAAAGAGGGGGACCUUCGGGCCUCACACUAUCGGAUGAACCCAGAUGGGAUUAGCUAGUAGGCGGGGUAACGGCCCACCUAAGCGACGAUCCCUAGCUGGUCUGAGAGGAUGACCAGCCAAACUGGAACUGAGACACGGUCCAGACUCCUACGGGAGGCAGCAGUGGGGAAUAUUGCACAAUGGGCGCAAGCCUGAUGCAGCCAUGCCGCGUGUAUGAAGAAGGCCUUCGGGUUGUAAAGUACUUUCAGCGGGGAGGAAGGCGAUGUGGUUAAUAACCGCGUCGAUUGACGUUACCCGCAGAAGAAGCACCGGCUAACUCCGUGCCAGCCGCCGCCGUAA